AGUGAACGCUGGCGGCAGGCUUAACACAUGCAAGUCGAACGGCAGCACAGUAAGAGCUUGCUCUUACGGGUGGCGAGUGGCGGACGGGUGAGGAAUAUAUCGGAAUCUACUUUUUCGUGGGGGUUAACGUAGGGAAACUUACGCUAAUACAGCAUACGACCUACGGGUGAAAGGAGGGGAUCUUCGGACCUUGCGCGAUUGAAUGAGCCGAUGUGGGAUUAGCUAGUUGGCGGGGUAAAGGCCCACCAAGGCGACGAUCCGUAGCUGGUGUGAGAGGAUGAUCGGCGGCACGGGAGGGUGACCACGGACCAGGGUACUACGGGAGGCAGCAGAGGGCAAUGUUGGGCAGUGGUCGGAAGCCUGGUCCAGCCAGAGCACGUGUGAGGAAGAAGCCUUCGGGUUGUGAAGCCGUUUUGUUGGGAAAGAAAAGCUUCAGGUUAAUACCCAGCUGGUCUGACGGUACCCAGAGAAUAAGCACCGGCUAACUUCGUG
Molecule: ribosomal RNA, 492 nt
Filed under: uncultured bacterium
Lineage: Bacteria
Description: partial 16S ribosomal RNA
Rfam family: Bacterial small subunit ribosomal RNA
Source: RNAcentral